This 279-nucleotide ribosomal RNA is filed under the name uncultured bacterium. Its description in RNAcentral is "partial 16S ribosomal RNA". It matches the Rfam family "Bacterial small subunit ribosomal RNA", at positions 506 to 784 of the family's 1533-position model. The record is from RNAcentral.
UGCCAGCCGCCGCGGUAAUACGUAGGGUGCGAGCGUUAAUCGGAAUUACUGGGCGUAAAGAGUGCGCAGGCGGCUCUCUAAGACAGGUGUGAAAUCCCCGGGCUUAACCUGGGAAUGGCGCUUGUGACUGGAGAGCUAGAGUGUGGCAGAGGGGAAUGGAAUUCCUGGUGUAGCGGUGGAAUGCGUAGAUAUUAUGAAGAAUACCAGUGGCGAAGGCGGCCUCCUGGAUCUGUACUGACACUGAGGUGCGAAAGCGUGGGUUGCGAACAGGAUUAGAUA